AGAGUUUGAUCCUGGCUCAGAUUGAACGCUGGCGGCAUGCCUAACACAUGCAAGUCGAACGGCAGCAUGAGAGAGCUUGCUCUCUUGAUGGCGAGUGGCGGACGGGUGAGUAAUACAUCGGGACCUACCCAUGACGUGGGGGAUAACCUCGGGAAACCGGGACUAAUACCGCAUACGUCCUACGGGAGAAAGCGGGGGACCUUCGGGCCUCGCGCGUCUGGACGGGCCGAUGUUCGAUUAGCUUGUUGGUGAGGUAACGGCUCACCAAGGCGACGAUCGAUAGCUGGUCUGAGAGGAUGAUCAGCCACAUUGGGACUGAGACACGGCCCAAACUCCUACGGGAGGCAGCAGUGGGGAAUAUUGGACAAUGGGCGAAAGCCUGAUCCAGCAAUGCCGCGUGUGUGAAGAAGGCCUUCGGGUUGUAAAGCACUUUUAUCAGGAACGAAAUCGGCAAGGUUAAUAACCGUGUCGUCUGACGGUACCUGAGGAAUAAGCACCGGCUAACUUCGUGCCAGCAGCCGCGGUAAUAC
This 530-nucleotide ribosomal RNA is filed under the name uncultured bacterium. RNAcentral describes it as "bacterial SSU rRNA". It matches the Rfam family "Bacterial small subunit ribosomal RNA", at positions 8 to 526 of the family's 1533-position model. The record is from RNAcentral.